Molecule: transfer RNA, 72 nt
Filed under: Auchenoplax crinita
Lineage: Eukaryota; Metazoa; Annelida; Polychaeta; Terebellida; Ampharetidae
Description: tRNA-Leu
Source: RNAcentral
UAGCAAGUUGGCAGAUUAGUGUAGUUGAUUUAGGGUCAGAUAAUAAGAGGUUUAUUCUUACUUGCUAUAAUA